GCGGGAUUAGCUCAAUGGUAGAGCUACUGCCUUCCAAGCAGAAGAUGCCGGUUCGAUUCCGGCAUUCCGCUCCA
Molecule: transfer RNA, 74 nt
Filed under: Actinomycetota bacterium
Lineage: Bacteria; Bacillati; Actinomycetota
Description: tRNA-Gly
Rfam family: tRNA
About the family: Transfer RNA (tRNA) molecules are approximately 80 nucleotides in length. Their secondary structure includes four short double-helical elements and three loops (D, anti-codon, and T loops). Further hydrogen bonds mediate the characteristic L-shaped molecular structure. tRNAs have two regions of fundamental functional importance: the anti-codon, which is responsible for specific mRNA codon recognition, and the 3' end, to which the tRNAs corresponding amino acid is attached (by aminoacyl-tRNA synthetases). tRNAs cope with the degeneracy of the genetic code in two manners: having more than one tRNA (with a specific anti-codon) for a particular amino acid; and 'wobble' base-pairing, i.e. permitting non-standard base-pairing at the 3rd anti-codon position.
Source: RNAcentral